This is a long non-coding RNA of Larimichthys crocea (large yellow croaker), 527 nucleotides long. RefSeq lists it as uncharacterized. The record is from RefSeq and is a predicted model, not a curated record. NCBI's taxonomy places the organism in Eukaryota, Metazoa, Chordata, Actinopteri, Sciaenidae. The transcript is spliced from 5 exons.
GAACACAUUGUCUGGCAAAGAAUUUCUGAUGAGCUGCUUCAGGUUGAGGCGUGGCUUUACAUAAAAGGAGCAGCAGGUAACAGCUGCGUCUGUAGGUUUGCAAUCCAGGAGACAGGUUCGAAGUGUUAAAAUGGAUCGAGAUCGCUGUGGUGGAAGAGGAGGCCAUGGUAAACAUGGUGAACAUGGUAAACAUGGUGAACAUGGUAAACAUGGUAAACCAGGUGGAUGCCGUAGACACAAACGUGGACCGAAUGGGAAAAAGAAGAACAAGAAAGGCCACAAGCAUAAGGCGUGUCACAAGAAGGGGAAGGACUGUCAUGGGUCCUCCAGCAGCUCCUGUAGCAGCAGCAGCAGCAGUGACUCUGACUAGAUGAAGACUCCUGGAUGAGAAAACAACCAGGAAACCUUCAUCCUCCUGCCUUACACAAGAAUUUCAAGUUCUUAGUCAAAGUUUUUUGUAUCUCAAAAGUGUGUAUGUUCUUGGAAUAAAAUACUCACCCAAUCAAUAAAGAAAAAACAGAUGGUUU